Molecule: long non-coding RNA, 1266 nt
Organism: Passer domesticus (house sparrow)
Lineage: Eukaryota; Metazoa; Chordata; Aves; Passeriformes; Passeridae
Exons: 3
Source: RefSeq, a predicted model, not a curated record
GGACACAGGUGUGACUGACACAGGUGUGAGGGACACAGGUGUGCUCAGGUGUGCUCAGGUGUGACUGACACAAAUGUGUGAGUGACACAGGUGUGACUGGUUCAGGUGUGUUCAGGUGUGCUCAGGUGUGACUGACACAAAUGUGUGAGUGACACAGGUGUGAGUGACACAGGUGUGCUCAGGUGUGCCCACGUGUGAGUGUGCUCAGGCGUACACAGGUGUGACUGGUUCAGGUGUGUUCAGGUGUGCUCAGGUGUGUAGGGAUCCGAUGGAUGAUGCUGGUGGAGCUCAGGUGUGCACAUGGUCGGGUGUGCAGGGAUCCAGGUGUGCCCAGGUGCCAGGAGAUGAUCCUACGGACAGCCGGUGUCCCUGGAUCCAGGUGUGCAGGGAUCCAGGUGUGCCCAGGUGUGCAGGGAUCCAGGUGUGCAGGUGUUCAGGUGCACAGGUAUGCAGAAAUCCAGGAGUGCAGAUGUUCAAGUGUGAAGGUAUCCAGGAUUGCCCAGGUGUGCAGGAAUCCAGGUGUGCAGGGAUUCAUGUGUCCCCAGGUGUGCAGGUGUUCAGGUGUGCAGGGAUCCAGGUGUGCCCAGGUGUGCCCAGAUAUUCAGGGAUCUAUGGGAUGGUCCUGAUGGAUCUCAGGUGUGCAGGGAUCCAGGUGAGCAGGGAUCCAGGUGUGCCCAGGUGUGCAGGCUGCGGGAGAUGACCCCAUGCACCUCAGGAGACGAUGCUGGUGGAUCUCAGGUGUGCCAGGUGUCUCCAGGUGUGCCCAGGUGUGCAGGGAUCCAGGUGUGCAGAUUUCAGGUGUGCCCAGGUGUGCAGGUGUUCAGGUGAGCAGGGAUCCAGGUGUGCCCAGGUGUGCAGGCUGCGGGAGAUGACCCCAUGCACCUCAGGAGACGAUGCUGGUGGAUCUCAGGUGUGCCCAGGUGUGCCCAGGUGUGCCCAGGUGUGCAGGGAUCCAGGUGUGCCCAGGUGUGCAGGGAUCCAGGUGUGCCCAGGUGUGCAGGCUGCAGGAGAUGACCCCAUGCACCUCAGGAGACGAUGCUGGUGGAUCUCAGGUGUGCCAGGUGUGCCCAGGUGUGCCCAGGUGUCCCCUGUGGCAGGUAGAGGGGUAUGAGGAGGAGAUCCAGGUGUGCCAGGUGUCCCCAGGUGCACCAGGUGCCCCCAGCUUUCCCAGGUGCUGUAGCUGUGCCCAGGUGUCGCCAGGUACCGUAGGUGUGCCCAGGUGUGACAGGUGUGCCCGUAGCGGGGUUGUAGCUGUGCCCAGGUGUG